Molecule: ribosomal RNA, 253 nt
Filed under: uncultured bacterium
Lineage: Bacteria
Description: partial 16S ribosomal RNA
Rfam family: Bacterial small subunit ribosomal RNA
Source: RNAcentral
UACAGAGGGGGCAAGCGUUGUUCGGAAUUACUGGGCGUAAAGGGCGCGUAGGCGGCCUUCUAAGUCGAACGUGAAAUCCCCGGGCUCAACCCGGGAACUGCGUCCGAUACUGGAAGGCUUGAAUCCGGGAGAGGGAUGCGGAAUUCCAGGUGUAGCGGUGAAAUGCGUAGAUAUCUGGAGGAACACCGGUGGCGAAGGCGGGUCUCUGGGCCGUAACUGACGCUGAGGAGCGAAAGCAUGGGGAGCGAACAGG